Molecule: ribosomal RNA, 846 nt
Filed under: Triticum aestivum (bread wheat)
Lineage: Eukaryota; Viridiplantae; Streptophyta; Magnoliopsida; Poales; Poaceae
Description: partial small subunit ribosomal RNA
Source: RNAcentral
AUGAUUGUAGCUAACACCCUCUUUAGAAAGGGAGAAUCACAUCCGGUGACUUUUAGUAGUGGCCAACACUCUAGCCAGAUUGAUUUCAUCCUCUCGAGAAGAGAAGAUAGGCGUGCGUGCCUAGACUGUAAGGUGAUACUUGGAGAGAGUGUUGUACCCCAGCAUAAGCUGGUGGUUGCUGACUUCCGCUUUCGGAUUCAUGUCCAGCGGGAUAAGCAUGCCAAAGUCGCUAGAACGAAGUGGUGGGAGCUCAAGGGGGAGGUAGCUCAGGCGUUCAAGGAGAGGGUCAUUAAGGAGGGCCCUUGGGAGGAAGGAGGGGAUGCAGACAAUGUGUGGAUGAAGAUGGCGACUUGCAUUCGUAAGGUGGCCUCGGAGGAGUUUGGAGUGUCCAGGGGAAGGAGGAGCGAAGAUAAGGAUACCUGGUGGUGGAAUGAUGAUGUCCAGAAGGCGAUUAAAGAGAAGAAAGAUUGCUUCAGACGCCUAUACCUGGAUAGGAGUGCAGACAACAUAGAGAAGUACAAGAUGGCGAAGAAGGCCACAAAGCGAGCUGUUGGUGAAGCAAGGGGUCGGGCAUAUGAGGACCUCUACCAACGGUUGAGCAUGAAGGAAGGCGAAAGGGACAUCUAUAAGAUGGCCAAGAUCCGAGAGAGGAAGACGAGGGAUAUUGGCCAAGUCAAAUGCAUCAAGGACGAAGCAGACCAACUCUUGGUGAAGGACGAGGAGAUUAAGCAUAGAUGGCGGGAGUACUUCGACAAGCUGUUCAAUGGGGAGAAUGAGAGUUCUACCAUUGAACUGGCCAACUCCUUUGAUGAGACCAUCAUGCGUUUUGUGCGGCGAAUCCAGUAG